GCUCUCACUUUGGCAGCACAUACACUAAAGUUGGAACGCUGAAGAGAAGAUUAGCAUGGCCUUUGUGCAAGGAUGGUAUGCAGAUUCAUGGAGCGGUCCAUAUUUGA
Molecule: small nuclear RNA, 107 nt
Organism: Mustela putorius furo (domestic ferret)
Lineage: Eukaryota; Metazoa; Chordata; Mammalia; Carnivora; Mustelidae
Source: Ensembl